GUGGACCAACACUAUACAUGCUGUAAUUUCUUUGGCUAACUAUGUGGAGAGUAACAUUAAUGAUCUAGUGAACUAUGACUAUGCGUUGACGACAUUGCUUAAUCUUAGAAGAAACCUAGAGGCAUCCAGUCGGCAUGUUGAGGACACGGUAUGGACUAAGUUUAAUGAAGUGGAGCGUUUAAUUCGCAUUGGUAAUGUCUCAGAGUUUCAGCCCAGUAUUGACAUACCACAAGACCAACUACAUAUGCAAAUCUCACUUGGCAUCCCUCGCAGUGAGAUGGCAAAACGUUUUGGUGUGUCUUUGAAAACACUUAAUCGCAGGAUUACACGAUGGGGGUUAAGACGAGUGGACUUGAACAAAAGUGUUAGUGACGCUGAGUUAGACGUGAUCGUGUCUGACAUUCAUCGCAAUUUCCCCAGCGCUGGCUACAAGCUGAUACUAGGUCACUUGAGGUCAAAGCAACUUUUUGUCAAACGGAGCCGUGUACUGGCAUCGUUAAGGCGAGUAGACGCUGAAGGAGUUCUGGG
This is a non-coding RNA of Paramisgurnus dabryanus, 528 nucleotides long. The record is from RefSeq and is a predicted model, not a curated record. NCBI's taxonomy places the organism in Eukaryota, Metazoa, Chordata, Actinopteri, Cypriniformes, Cobitidae.